AACUCUCAAACCGCAUCUUCAUUGAUGUCGGGCUUGGAUUUGGACGUUGCUGGACAUGAGUUCGGCUCGUCUUGAACGCAUUAGCUGACGAUUUCGACUUCAGUUAAACCGUGUGAUAAUACAUCAACGCGGGCAGCCGUAAGGCGCUGGGUCGUCUCCCGAAGGCUUCCAAUCGUCCCGUCCGGGACUGUCCUUACGGGCAUUUCAUUUCAC
This 213-nucleotide unclassified non-coding RNA is filed under the name uncultured Tremellodendropsidales. RNAcentral's name for it is "sequence contains ITS2". Lineage: Eukaryota; Fungi; Basidiomycota; Agaricomycetes; Tremellodendropsidales. The record is from RNAcentral.